Molecule: long non-coding RNA, 337 nt
Filed under: Musa acuminata (dwarf banana)
Lineage: Eukaryota; Viridiplantae; Streptophyta; Magnoliopsida; Zingiberales; Musaceae
Description: long non-coding RNA (MACU_LNC008463)
Source: RNAcentral
CCCUCUUAUCUCCAGCGAGAUAAGGCUAUCGCUCCUUCUGGUGAACCAGAGAAACAAGAAGGCCUAGUUUUCAUGGCGACCGUGGCCUUCAACCUCGUAGGCGCCUUCAAGGGACUCUCCUUGGGGUCGAGCUCCGCAUCUUCUUACCUCAGGGGUGACCUCGGGCUGCCCCGCCCCGGCAGCGGUACCUCCAUCUCCUUCCCCAUGAGGUCCCCACUGACGAUCGAGUCGGCGCACAAGAAGGGGGCCGGUAGCACCAAGAACGGCCGUGAUUCCAGGGGGAAGCGGCUCGGCGUCAAGAUCUACGGCGAUCAGGUCGCCCAGCCUGGUGCCAUCA